Molecule: long non-coding RNA, 272 nt
Organism: Sapajus apella (tufted capuchin)
Lineage: Eukaryota; Metazoa; Chordata; Mammalia; Primates; Cebidae
Exons: 3
Source: RefSeq, a predicted model, not a curated record
CUCCCCAUGACAUCAAGUGACAUUUCUAACCCUAAAUGUGAGAAAGGCUGUCCAGGAAAAGAGAAUAUAACAAAAGAAAUGUGUGUGUGUGUGUGUGUGUGUGUGUGUGUGUGUGUGUGUAUGUUGCCGAUUUCUUUCAAGUUUGUUCCUAUGUAUGCUAUCUCUUUUGCUACUAUUUUAACAGGGGAGGAGGGUUUUCCAUUUUAUCUUCUAAAAGGUUGCUAUUUGUAUAUUAGAAAAUGCAAGCAAAGAAUUCUGUAAAGAGGCACCAU